RNAcentral lists this transfer RNA (88 nucleotides) under Saccharopolyspora thermophila. RNAcentral describes it as "tRNA-Glu". Lineage: Bacteria; Bacillati; Actinomycetota; Actinomycetes; Pseudonocardiales; Pseudonocardiaceae. The record is from RNAcentral.
CCUGGUGGUGGCGAACGCGGCCAACGCCGCCGUGGUCUCCGCCCAGCUGGCCGAGCGGGUGGCCGGGUUCGACGCCCAGCACCAGGAC